AAUGGCUCUUUGGUGGGGUAGAGAAUCAGGACUGAAGAAAGGUGUUCUUUGAUGUCUGAGGUAAUUUGAAAAGGGGAACAUCGUUACUAUGGUUACCCUGCCCUUUUGAUCUUGUGAGAGUUUCAUGAUCCCUGUCCAAAAAGGUCCUGGCAGCCAGGUUCAGGAUAAGGUUAGUCUCUGGACAAGGUUAAUAUUUUAACAGUCAUGUAUAGUCUGUUAUAUCAACUUCACAGGAGGUGGUAGGUCUUAUCGUCAAAACUUCCCAAACAGCAUUUGGAGCGGAGCAAACCUUUCACCCCUCCUUUGGAGUACUUAGGGCCUGGAGUCACCCCCCGCUUUCUUUCAGGGAGAGACAAAGAGAGCUAUGCUGGAUUCUUUCCUUUUGGCAUAAAAUAAUUAAACCAACACUGGCUGGUUCACUACAACAGCUACAGUAUAUGCUUUUGUAGCUGCAGUGCCUUAAAAAUGAUAGAAAAUAUUAAAUAACUGGAUGAUUUGAUCCGAGUUGUGUUAACAUUUAAUGUUUUGUCAUAAACUUCAGCUCCUGCCCCCCAACAUGUCUGUGCAAGUCCUUAGCACACACACAUGCACACGCACACACACACACAUUAUCUGUUUUGCUUCCAUGUCUUCUUUUACUCUAAUGGAAAGAACAUAACAUCAUUUGAUAAUAUCUGUUUUAUUCUUUCCAGAAAUCACGUGUAAAGUUACCGACUCAAUGCCUCCUCAUCUCAAUGUAACUGGACUACCACAAAACAAAAUAAUGAAGAUUGGACAUAAAUUACACUUUGACUGUGAUGGUCAAUAUAGACUGGUCGGGUCUGAAGAAAUUGAAUGUUUACAAACUGGACAGUGGAAUGCCCCUUUUCCAACUUGUGCUGAAAUCACGUGUAAUGUUACUGACUCAAUGCCUCCUCAUCUCAAUGUAACUGGACUACCACAAAACAAAAUAAUGAAGAUUGGACAUAAAUUACACUUUGACUGUGAUGGUCAAUAUAGACUGGUCGGGUCUGAAGAAAUUGAAUGUUUACAAACUGGACAGUGGAAUGCCCCUUUUCCAACUUGUGCUGGUAUGUUCACUUUCAAUGAAAGCACGGACCAGAACCCUGCACUCUGGACAAAAAUGCCAUGAAAAUGUGUGUUCAAAAGUAAACCUAGUCUGCAAUAUUUAAUCCAUAAUGAAGUAAUCGAGUUCAGGUGUAUCAGAGGAACAAGUCAUGAUGGAGCAGUGAUGAUGCGUCAGAGGUGUGUUAAUGGUGUGCUGGCCCUGCCCACUUGCCAUAAAGAGGUUACGUGACCGACCUGAGAUGGCUGGACAAACAUGUAAAUGAUUAGUAAGACAAUUAAUAACAUAGAGUUAUGAGCUGAUCUCCUGUGUCUGCAUCAGUGCUGCCAACUGUGACAGUUUUAAUAAAACAUACAUGUUCUCUCA
Molecule: long non-coding RNA, 1432 nt
Organism: Micropterus dolomieu (smallmouth bass)
Lineage: Eukaryota; Metazoa; Chordata; Actinopteri; Centrarchiformes; Centrarchidae
Exons: 3
Source: RefSeq, a predicted model, not a curated record